GCCCUCGUAGCUCAGGGGAUAGAGCGUCUGCCUCCGGAGCAGAAGGUCGUAGGUUCGAAUCCUAUCGAGGGCGCAA
Molecule: transfer RNA, 76 nt
Filed under: Agrococcus sp. SGAir0287
Lineage: Bacteria; Bacillati; Actinomycetota; Actinomycetes; Micrococcales; Microbacteriaceae
Description: tRNA-Arg
Rfam family: tRNA
About the family: Transfer RNA (tRNA) molecules are approximately 80 nucleotides in length.
Source: RNAcentral